Molecule: long non-coding RNA, 1445 nt
Filed under: Homo sapiens (human)
Lineage: Eukaryota; Metazoa; Chordata; Mammalia; Primates; Hominidae
Description: HSALNT0334092
Source: RNAcentral
CCGCGCCUCAAAGGCGGAGUGCGGGGCUGUGGGAGAAAACGAGAGCCUCGGGCUGUCGCCCGGCGACGGGCGGCUGAGGCCUUCGUAUUCUUAGAACUUUUAGAAUCUGAAGCAAACUUAUCUUCCCCCUGUCUGAAGAAGGGGAGCAGGUUUCUGAGUACUCCGGGGCGCGGUGCCUCCCCCUAAACGCGAAUGGUGCGCUCCAAGCGGGAGGGGGAGGAGCAGAUUAGUUGUGUAGGGUAAAUUGGGCCAGUCCCAGAGUGGCGGCGCAUGCGCCCGUAGAACCCGUAACCGAGUGCGAGGAGGGGCCUGGGGGAGCAAUGCCAAACGCGGAAGUGGAGCUCUGGCUUCCCGGGGGCGUCGGAGUCAAGGUCCCUGGAGCUGCCGCUCUGGCUCCUGGGCGAUUCCGGGGAGCCAUUCUCCCCAAUUUGCCAACUCCCUGGGCAUCUCUCUCUCUCUUCCUGGUCCCGCCACACCCAAACAACUCUUAUAGUUCCACCCGGUAUACUGGUCUCUUGACAGGAACUUUUGGGAAAUGCCCCUCCCCCAGCCCCUUGUCUGGGGCAACUUCCUUGUCUCUUCUCCCCCACCGGUGUUGGGGAGUUCCUUGUCUCCACUCCCAACCACAGAGCCACAAGUACAUUAUCUAUGCCCAGGCGAGUCCCUAUGCCCAGGCUAGGAGAGCCGCACUUCUUCCUACAGCUGACACGUUUGGUUUUUGGAGGGGAAAGGGGAGCUGUAGCUGAAUCAGUAAUGGAAAUUGGUUCUUCCAUCUCUGCUUCUCUCUACAAAGCUGCUUUAUAAUCUCGGCAGAGCUGUUUUCACUGCUUUUUUGGGAACGUAAUCCAGGUUUACCCAGCCUCACUUCAAGAACAAACAGAGACUAAUUAGUAUCUAUGAAUCCCAAUCCCCAGGAGAAAGAAACUGAUUGGUUCGAUUUAUGUCCGCUUGUGUACUCUUGGUACAAUCACCUUUGACCAACAGGGCAGUUAUGUAGUCAGGUCUUUUUGUUUUGUAAAGCAGACAUGGCUGCCAGAACCCCAUCUUUGUAGGCUAUGUUCUCAAAGUUAUGUACUUGGCAAAGAUUCCAAAAAAUGUCCACCACAGACCAUAAAGGAGUAAAUUGCAGCUGAACUUCAAAAGCAUAAAGAACAAUUGACAUGUUAAGGAUUUUCAACAGACUGACUCCUACUUAAACAAAUUCAGACCUGAAUUUAAAUGGAACUCCUUCAAAGAAGUCAUCCCUGACCCAAGCCCCAAUCAAAAUUUGGUGGCCCCAUUAUUAUCUUACAUGGCACUCUUUUUCUUUAUAGUACCUAUCAUAGUUUAAAUAUGUAUUUGUGAGUCUCCUCUCCAAAAAUCAUGUCUGUUUUGUUUACUGUGAUAUACACAAUACUCAAGGUGCAUUUGGGAGGCGUUCAAUAAAUGUUGUAUGAAUAAAAGCA